GACAGAGGGUGCAAACGUUGCUCGGAAUUACUGGGCGUAAAGCGCGCGUAGGCGGCUUUGCAAGUCGGGUGUGAAAUCCCCAGGCUUAACCUGGGAACUGCAUUCGAGACUGCAUUGCUAGAGUAUGGGAGAGGGAAGUGGAAUUUCCGGUGUAGCGGUGAAAUGCGUAGAUAUCGGAAGGAACAUCAGUGGCGAAAGCGACUUCCUGGACCAAUACUGACGCUCAUGUGCGAAAGCGUGGGGAGCAAACAGG
This 253-nucleotide ribosomal RNA is filed under the name uncultured bacterium. Its description in RNAcentral is "partial 16S ribosomal RNA". It matches the Rfam family "Bacterial small subunit ribosomal RNA", at positions 524 to 776 of the family's 1533-position model. The record is from RNAcentral.